RNAcentral lists this ribosomal RNA (821 nucleotides) under uncultured bacterium. RNAcentral describes it as "bacterial SSU rRNA". It matches the Rfam family "Bacterial small subunit ribosomal RNA", at positions 8 to 811 of the family's 1533-position model. The record is from RNAcentral.
AGAGUUUGAUCCUGGCUCAGGAUGAACGCUGGCGGCGUGCCUAAUACAUGCAAGUCGAACGCACAGCGAAAGGUGCUUGCACCUUUCAAGUGAGUGGCGAACGGGUGAGUAACACGUGGAUAACCUACCUCAAGGUUGGGGAUAACAUUUGGAAACAGAUGCUAAUACCGAAUAAAACUUCGUAUCGCAUGAUACAAGGUUAAAAGGCGCUACGGCGUCACCUAGAGAUGGAUCCGCGGUGCAUUAGUUAGUUGGUGGGGUAAAGGCCUACCAAGACAAUGAUGCAUAGCCGAGUUGAGAGACUGAUCGGCCACAUUGGGACUGAGACACGGCCCAAACUCCUACGGGAGGCUGCAGUAGGGAAUCUUCCACAAUGGGCGAAAGCCUGAUGGAGCAACGCCGCGUGUGUGAUGAAGGCUUUCGGGUCGUAAAGCACUGUUGUAUGGGAAGAACAGCUAGAGUAGGGAAUGACUUUAGUUUGACGGUACCAUACCAGAAAGGGACGGCUAAAUACGUGCCAGCAGCCGCGGUAAUACGUAUGUCCCGAGCGUUAUCCGGAUUUAUUGGGCGUAAAGCGAGCGCAGACGGUUGAUUAAGUCUGAUGUGAAAGCCCGGAGCUCAACUCCAGAAAGGCAUUGGAAACUGGUCAACUUGAGUGCAGUAGAGGUAAGUGGAACUCCAUGUGUAGCGGUGGAAUGCGUAGAUAUAUGGAAGAACACCAGCGGCGAAGGCGGCUUACUGGACUGUAACUGACGUUGAGGCUCGAAAGUGUGGGUAGCAAACAGGAUUAGAUACCCUGGUAGUCCACACCGUAAACGAUG